Molecule: long non-coding RNA, 861 nt
Organism: Acomys russatus (golden spiny mouse)
Lineage: Eukaryota; Metazoa; Chordata; Mammalia; Rodentia; Muridae
Exons: 4
Source: RefSeq, a predicted model, not a curated record
AAAGAAAGAAAGAAAGAAAGAAAGAAAGAAAGAAAGAAAGAAAGAAAGAAAGAGAAAAAAUAGCUGUGUUUCUGCUUCUUUCGUUAUAAGAUAAAUUGUCCCGGAGACAACCUCUCCCACUAACUGUGUGUUAGCCAUGCAUUUUUAUCUGAAGAGCUGACACACUAGGCUCUCAACUGGUGUGGAAAGCAGCCUGUUACAGUGUGGGAUUCAUAAAAGGGCCUCUAUGGUGUGUGAAAGAAAAUCUGUGUGCUUAGGCAGGAAACUUUUUGAUCUACAGAAAAGCCAGAAGACAACUAGCACACCAGAGUAGGGGUGUUCCCGUCUCACUGAGCAGUAUAAACUAUGAAGAGAUUUUACAAAACCCGUCGGGACAAACAACAUACGAAUUCAUAAGACUGUCCAUCUCUGUAAGUAACGCGCUGUUAACAGUUACCCUUAAUGGUCACUCAGAAAACAUUUUACUCAACAAUAACGGGGAACACUUAAAGUGGACAUGAGAAGAGAAGAAAAUGACCAUAGGAGAAAAUCUUCUCAGGUAAAGAUGAAAAGCACACGUAUAAAGUGUAAUUAAUCUACACUAUUAAAGAGAAAAUUACUCUGUCUGUGUUUGGUGUGAGAAACUGUCCUUCCCUUUGUGAAGCUAGCUAUCAGAAUCUUCGCUGAUGGUUCCCUUCAAGAGUUUGCAGUAUUACUUGCCUUUGUCAACCUUUUGUUUGGUUUUGUGAUCAAUGCCCAGUGACCAUCCUUCCAAGGACAUAUGUAUAUAUUGAUCCAAACAACACAGGUAUGGAAUGACUGACUAGGAAGCUAGUCAGUCAAAAGAAAAAAAAUAUCUUUUAGUGGUUAUACCAUAUAAAA